CAGCAGUCGCCGCGGUAAUACGUAGGUGGCAAGCGUUGUCCGGAAUUAUUGGGCGUAAAGGGCUCGCAGGCGGUUUCUUAAGUCUGAUGUGAAAGCCCCCGGCUCAACCGGGGAGGGUCAUUGGAGACUGGGAAACUCGAGUGCAGAAGAGGAGAGUGGAAUUCCACGUGUAGCGGUGAAAUGCGUAGAGAUGUGGAGGAACACCAGUGGCGAAGGCGACUCUCUGGUCUGUAACUGACGCUGAGGAGCGAAAGCGUGGGGAGCAAAUGGGAUUAGAUACCCGCGUAGUCCCUGUCUCUUAUAU
Molecule: ribosomal RNA, 304 nt
Filed under: uncultured bacterium
Lineage: Bacteria
Description: partial 16S ribosomal RNA
Rfam family: Bacterial small subunit ribosomal RNA
Source: RNAcentral